AACGAACGCUGGCGGCAGGCUUAACACAUGCAAGUCGAGCGCCCCGCAAGGGGAGCGGCAGACGGGUGAGUAAGGCGUGGGAAUCUACCGAGCCAUAAGGAAUGGCUUCGGUAAACGGGAAUUAAUACAUUAUAGCCCCUUCGGGGGAAAGAUUUAUAGGGGUUUGAUGAGCCGCGGUUGGAUUAGCAAGUUGGGGGGGUAAGGGCCUACCAGGGGGACGAACCAUAGCUGGCCUGAGAGGAUGAUCAGCCACAUUGGGAGGGAGACACGGCACAAACUCCUACGGGAGGCAGCAGUGGGUAAUAGUGGACAAUGGGCGCAAGCCUGAACCAGCCAUGCCGCUUGAGUGAUGAAGGCCCUAGGGUUGUAAAGCUCUUUCACCGGUGAAGAUAAUGACGGUAACCGGAGAAGAAGCCCCGGCUAACUUCGUGCCAGCAGCCGCCGUAA
Molecule: ribosomal RNA, 447 nt
Filed under: uncultured bacterium
Lineage: Bacteria
Description: partial 16S ribosomal RNA
Rfam family: Bacterial small subunit ribosomal RNA
Source: RNAcentral